GAUGAACGCUGGCGGCGUGCUUAACACAUGCAAGUCGAACGGAAAGGCUCCUGCUUGCAGGGGUACUCGAGUGGCGAACGGGUGAGUAACACGUGGGUGAUCUGCCCUGCACUUCGGGAUAAGCCUGGGAAACUGGGUCUAAUACCGGAUAGGACCACAUUUUGGAUGGUGUGGUGGAAAGUUUUUCGGUGUGGGAUGAGCUCGCGGCCUAUCAGCUUGUUGGUGGGGUAAUGGCCUACCAAGGCGUCGACGGGUAGCCGGCCUGAGAGGGGGUACGGCCAGCUUGGGGACGGAGAUGGGGCCCAGACCCCGAGGGGGGGGGGAAGGGGGGAAUAUUGAACAUGGGGGGAAGGCGUGAUGCGGGGAGGCCGGGGGGGGGAGGAGGGCUUUGGGUUUGAAAACCCCUGUCGAAGGGGAGGAAGUGUUUUUGUGACGGUACCUGGAAAAGAAGCCCCGGCAAACUACGUG
Molecule: ribosomal RNA, 468 nt
Filed under: uncultured bacterium
Lineage: Bacteria
Description: partial 16S ribosomal RNA
Rfam family: Bacterial small subunit ribosomal RNA
Source: RNAcentral